Molecule: ribosomal RNA, 252 nt
Filed under: uncultured bacterium
Lineage: Bacteria
Description: partial 16S ribosomal RNA
Rfam family: Bacterial small subunit ribosomal RNA
Source: RNAcentral
UACGUAGGGUCCGAGCGUUGUCCGGAAUUACUGGGCGUAAAGAGCUCGUAGGUGGUUUGUCGCGUUGUUCGUGAAAACUCACAGCUCAACUGUGGGCGUGCGGGCGAUACGGGCAGACUGGAGUACUGCAGGGGAGACUGGAAUUCCUGGUGUAGCGGUGGAAUGCGCAGAUAUCAGGAGGAACACCGGUGGCGAAGGCGGGUCUCUGGGCCGGUACUGACGCUGAGACGCGAAAGCGUGGGAGCAAACAGG